CCACCUGACCCCAUGCCGAACUCAGAAGUGAAACGCCGUAGCGCCGAUGGUAGUGUGGGGUCUCCCCAUGUGAGAGUAGGGAACCGCCAGGU
Molecule: ribosomal RNA, 92 nt
Filed under: Morganella morganii
Lineage: Bacteria; Pseudomonadati; Pseudomonadota; Gammaproteobacteria; Enterobacterales; Morganellaceae
Source: RNAcentral